This 210-nucleotide long non-coding RNA is filed under the name Manihot esculenta (cassava). RNAcentral's name for it is "long non-coding RNA (MESC_LNC009499)". The record is from RNAcentral. Lineage: Eukaryota; Viridiplantae; Streptophyta; Magnoliopsida; Malpighiales; Euphorbiaceae.
UGUGAUGCGGGUUCAUGUAUUCCACAUGAACCAUAUGAUGCUUAUGUUUAUGUAUAUAUGUUGUGUUUCAGAAAGCGGAAUGCGAGGCACUCGUCGAUCUGCACUAUUGACUGGAGUCCCACCAGAGAAUGAGGGCAUGGAUGCCCGUCCUCCUGCAUUUCCAAGGGCAAUGUCUAGUAGGUCCAGUAGAGAAGGAACAUCAAGUGUAAC